UCUAAGAUGUCGGGAGGUUCUAAAAUUCUGAAUUUAAAUUAUCUGUGUGUUUCAGAGAUUUGGGCAGGAGAAAGGGAGGAGCCCAGCUUCUGUGAACACCUCUGUUACCUCCUUGACCACAGAACAGGAAUCGUAGAAGGAUGAUAGAAGGUCUGAGAAGCACUCUCCACUCCAAGGGUGAGACCAGAAGGUGAAGCUCCUCCCCCUUAGAGCAUUACUUUUUGGAUCUUAAAAUUGCCUUGGAACUGUGGGAAACCAUUGCAUUUCCUAAAGCCCAAGUCUGAGAAGGUCUGAGAGAGCAGCGGACCUUGCCAGGAGCCAGGAACAGCACCGGAGGAGCUGGAGUGGGUGUGCCGGCCUUAGGUCAAAGGUGCCUUUUCAUCCCCACCUGACAACACUUCCCCACUCUGGCUCCACGAGACCCAGUUUUGAAAUCAGCCUCUGAGUCAGUCAUGCAGCUGGUUCCAGGACGUCAGCCUUCAGAGAAAGCAGCAGGACACUACUCUUCUUUAAGACGGGAGGCUGGAAAAAGGACCGUGUUGACAAGUCAUGUUCCAG
Neogale vison (American mink) is the source of this 558-nucleotide long non-coding RNA. RefSeq lists it as uncharacterized. The transcript has 4 exons. Lineage: Eukaryota; Metazoa; Chordata; Mammalia; Carnivora; Mustelidae. The record is from RefSeq and is a predicted model, not a curated record.